RNAcentral lists this long non-coding RNA (405 nucleotides) under Micromonas pusilla. RNAcentral's name for it is "long non-coding RNA (MPUS_LNC000042)". Lineage: Eukaryota; Viridiplantae; Chlorophyta; Mamiellophyceae; Mamiellales; Mamiellaceae. The record is from RNAcentral.
CCGUACUUCCGUACUUUCGAGAAAGUACGAAAGUACUUCCGUAGUACAACUACGUGUGUGUAGCGAGGGAUACCUGGAGCAGUUCUUGUCGCACGAGGUGGUGUGCGAGGACACGACGUCGAGCGGCGGGAACGUCGAGCUGUUGCGCGGCGGCGACUGAUGAACCGACUGCGCCGAGACGAUUCGCGCGGCGACGGACGGACGAACGAACGAACGAACGAACACCGCGCCAUUGUAGACUAGCUAGUACGAAAGUAGUUCAGAUGAUUAGGGUUUAGGGUUUAGGGUUUAGGGUUUAGGGUUUAGGGUUUAGGGUUUAGGGUUUAGGGUUUAGGGUUUAGGGUUUAGGGUUUAGGGUUUAGGGUUUAGGGUUUAGGGUUUAGGGUUUAGGGUUUAGGGUUUAGG